ACGAGAUAACCUUCUCGCAAGUUUCCAGAAGGUGGAGAGAAAAGUCACAAACAAAAGAUCAAGAGUCUGAAGGGCAUUAGCUUUCUCAACAGCAACCCGGCAACUGGGAAACAAUGGAGAAAGAGCUUUGAAAAUCUAGGAGGAAAUAUUUUGGAUAGAGUUCUAUAUCCAUCCAAACCAUCAAUUAGGUAUUUGUUGAAGUCAGCUUCUUGGGAAGGCUUUCCCUCAACACCUAUCCAAAAUUUCUGCACCUAUUAUUCACACCCCCAUCCUUGCUUCAUUUCUGUUUCUGCACAUUUUUUUUUUGCUAUUUAUUAUAGUUCAUACUUUAAUUAUUAUUUAUUGUCAGUCUCUCCCUCUGGAAUGUAAGCUUCAUGACGUCAGGGUUGUUUUUUAACUUUUUUUGUUGUGUACUACUAUAUCCUUAGUACCCGUGAUACCACCUGUACACAGUAGAUUUUUAUUAAUGUUUGUUAAUGAAUGAAUGAACGAUUUAUUAGUUUCCAAAAGUAAUGUUCAUUUGGGGUCUAUCUGAGCUAUAAGAGCUUUUGCUUCAUGAUGUAAACAGCCUCAUAAUCUCAUUCUUGGUUUGUCUACACAUCAGAAAUACAAUCUGAAGUGGCUGUUUCCUAGAUUGGAGUAACCCUUCUGCAUGGAGCAUAAACCACUCCAUUUUCCCUUUCAGCCCAUCACAGUCUUGAUUCUUGGCUUCUUCAGGGAGCUAGUUUUCCAGAAUACUCAUGCUGUUUUUCAUAUUACAGAAAAAAACCUUUCAAGCCUGUCCGAUCACAGACUGUGCAAUGUUCUUACCCCAAAUGGGAGAUGUGGUGACUGUCCCACGUGAGAGCUAAUGCCUUAUCAAAAGGCAAAAACUGCUGUUGAGGUCUGGCCCCCAACUAUGCCUGGGUGAGAACCCUGCAGACAGGCCACAUAUGGCCUCCCUGCAGUCAGAUAUCACGGCCUCACUCCCAGGACCUGGCUUUCAUUCGCACUUCUGCAUUCUGUAUGUGUGUGUGCUUGAAACAGAAUGUAGACUCUGAAUGAAAAAAAAAUUGGGCCUAAAUUACGGUUACCUCAGGGUCUGGCUUGUGCAGCUGCCAGGUGGGUGCAUAAGUUCAGUUACAGAUCGUGAUACUCCAGAGAGGAUGGGAAAGAUGCCCUUACAAACAGGAGAAUCAGUGUGCUUUCUCAAUUUAGGAAAGGCAUUCAAAUAUGCUUAAAGUCAGAAGGAAUUCUUUAAUACAUGAUGGCGUUUCAUUGGCACAGGGAUGAGAUUCAGCAUUUUCUGGCACACCUCCCCAGCUCUGGUUAGCGCUGGCUGCCCCACAUUCACAGGGGAAGCCUGAAGGCCUUGAGCUCAUAAACUCCUUUUUUAUGCAGAGGGAAGAGGAUGGGGAAACGCACUUACAGGAUGUCUGCUACGUGUCAGAAAUGGUACACAUUAAGUCAUUGGAUCUGCAAAGCAUCCCGUUGGGUUGGUAUGGUGUCCCAUCUUACAGAUAAGGAAAAGUUAGCUCUGAAGUUCCAAGUAACUUGCCUGAUGUUACAGUUAGUAAAGGGUUUAACUAACUUACACAUCCGAUACUGUGCAUCGGCAGAACCCAUGCUCUCACCCAUGAAGCAUACAGCCUCUGAAAUUCUGCAUUUAGUCACAUCCUCUAACCUUCCUCUCUGGACGAUCUGCACUGACCUCACACUUUUAGCCUGACCAGCAGCUUAAAGAUGUUGAAGCAGGUUGGGAAGAAGAGUCCUGUCUUUAAGCCAACUGAAGGAAAUGUUGACACGUGGUUAGACAAUCCACACGCUGGGGAAAGGGAGGGCUCUCCGUGAUGGUGUUGAAAUGAACCUCAGAACACUUGGAGCCCUUCUGAGGAGCCUGGGCCCUUAGGGGCUCUUCCAUCUCAGUGGCUCUGUGUGGCAAGGUGGAUUUCCCCCCAAGAACUCUUGGUCACAUUUUACAAAAAACAAAGUGCGUUUGGCAGGUCACAUCCUCAUAUAUUUUUGAAUCUCAGAAUCAGUUCCAGAAUGUAGGACAUCUUCUAAAUUGUUCUUGACCUUAAUAGGGCAUGCAGGGAUUUGCAGUGUGAACUUGCUGUAGUCUGAAUGUUUGUGUCCUCCUCCAAGUUCAUACUGUACAACCCUAACCGCCAGUGUGAUGGCGUUAGGAUGUGGGGAUUCUGGGAGGUAAUUAGGUCAUGAGGGUGGGGCCCCCUGAGGAGAUCAGGAGCCUUAUAAGAGGAGGCACCAGAGAGCUUGUCUUUUCUCUGUUACAUGCCUUGUGAGAAGCAAGGAGAAGAUUGCCAUCUGCAAACCACGAAGCGGGCCCUACCCACACACCAGAUCAACUGGCACCUUGGUCCUGAACAUUUCUGCCUCUGGAACUGAACAGUCUUUCUUAUGGGUGAACUGAGAGCCAAAUGGAUAAACCUGGAGACUUGAACCUCACUCAUUUCCUGCAAGGCCCAUAGAAGAAAUUCCAUUCCUGGCUGGCUCCAGCACUCCCGCGCCCAACACGAGUAGGGUUAAGAGAGCACAGAGCUGUACUCCAGAUGGAAAGCCUCUGCCUGGCAGUGAUGUGGGACCUGUGUCAUCUUCACAUUGCUCCUUAGGUACGACUAACAGAAACUGGAGGCCUAGACUUCCCACUUGUGCCAUUUAAUUAAAUACGUGAUCUCAAAAAAAAAAAAAAAAAAAAAAAAAGGAAAAGCAGAUAUGCUGUGGCUUUUGUAUCUCAUUUGUAAAUUGAGGGCCCUGGAUGACUAACCUAAGAUGAAGUAUAUACAAAUUUUAAUGUUAAAAAUCAAUAUUGAUAAUGCAAAUAACAAUAGGCUUCUUGUUUGUUUCUUUGUUUCUUUUAAGGACAGAUAGGACAAUGUCUGAACUCAGUCUGCUCUGGUUGUCAUAUGCAACCAAGGAAACAAAAUCAGGACACCUCCCCACAGCUUUCUUCUCUUUUCUUCUCUACGCAAGGCAUUUGCUAGGCUUUAUGUGGCAAAAUCCAGCUGUCUUCUGCAGCAGCCAGACCCUGAAGCCUUUUGUGGGUUGAUCCUGUUCCUGGCCCCUCUCUUCCCUGUUCUCUGUCUGCAAACUCAAGAUACUGAGGCAGAACCUGGAAAUGGCAGGUGAAGCAUAUGAAACACCACACCAGUGGUGACACUGCAAAGAGAUCUAAAUCCUCAUGACCUGUGCAUGUAAUUAAAGGGCCAGAAAAAAAAUCACAAAAAAAGGAAAAGGACAGCAAGAUAGAAAGUGAACACCCAGCAUGAAGGAAACAAAUGAUAAGGUGGAUAAACUCCUGCUUUUCUUAAAAGCUUGUUGGAGGGAAAAGCUAUGCCAAAUAUGUGCCAAGCUCCUCGGUACUUUUGUGUGGUGGGGGCAACAGCCCCCCAUUCAUGGCUUCCCCUAACAGUUAAGGGUGUUGGCCACACUGCACCUCUUCUUUCUGGAGCCAUUCCUGUCCUCCCCCAGGAUGCCAGACAGAGGCAUGGGGCUGCUGCAAACCCACAUGACUGGGUUCAGAAGCCACCCAUCCAGGUUUCUGAGACUGGGGUCCUCCUGAGAAGUGAACUCACUCCAUGGUCUCUCCCUUGCUAUUCCUUAUACUAGGAACACAGUCCAGUACACUAGCCUCUUGCACCAGAGGCUGACCCCAGCCAGAUCUGCAUGUUCCCAGCCCUAAAGAUACAGCUUGGACUUGCUGCUUCCUCUGGAAGUGAAUUCUCAAUGCUUGAUGUUAAAUCAGUGAAGUUUCUCAGUACUUGUGUUUUUACAAACAAGAUCAAGUUCACAUUUGGAUGCAGGGGCAUGUGCUCAUAAGUAUAUAAAUACACAUACACAGUAAUAAGGGGGGCAUCACGUAGUGCCUUCUA
Manis pentadactyla (Chinese pangolin) is the source of this 3869-nucleotide long non-coding RNA. RefSeq lists it as uncharacterized. The record is from RefSeq and is a predicted model, not a curated record. The transcript has 3 exons. Lineage: Eukaryota; Metazoa; Chordata; Mammalia; Pholidota; Manidae.